RNAcentral lists this antisense RNA (75 nucleotides) under Kibdelosporangium phytohabitans. RNAcentral's name for it is "Kibdelosporangium sp. KLBMP 1111 ASpks TB sRNA". It matches the Rfam family "ASpks TB sRNA". Lineage: Bacteria; Bacillati; Actinomycetota; Actinomycetes; Pseudonocardiales; Pseudonocardiaceae. The record is from Rfam by way of RNAcentral.
CUUGACCGAGCCGAUCCACAGCGGACGCUGCGCAGGCCGGUCCUGGCCGUAGGUCGCCAGCAGCGCGUGCGCCUC